This 85-nucleotide transfer RNA is filed under the name Labilithrix sp. RNAcentral describes it as "tRNA-Leu". It matches the Rfam family "tRNA". Rfam says of the family: Transfer RNA (tRNA) molecules are approximately 80 nucleotides in length. Their secondary structure includes four short double-helical elements and three loops (D, anti-codon, and T loops). Lineage: Bacteria; Pseudomonadati; Myxococcota; Polyangiales; Labilitrichaceae. The record is from RNAcentral.
GCGAAGGUGGCGGAAUUGGCAGACGCGCUGGUUUCAGGUACCAGUACCGCAAGGUGUAGGGGUUCAAGUCCCCUCCUUCGCACCA